AAUAGAUACCCUGGUAGUCCACGCCGUAAACGAUGAGUGCUAAGUGUUAGAGGGUUUCCGCCCUUUAGUGCUGCAGCUAACGCAUUAAGCACUCCGCCUGGGGAGUACGGUCGCAAGACUGAAACUCAAAGGAAUUGACGGGGGCCCGCACAAGCGGUGGAGCAUGUGGUUUAAUUCGAAGCAACGCGAAGAACCUUACCAGGUCUUGACAUCCUCUGACAACUCUAGAGAUAGAGCGUUCCCCUUCGGGGGACAGAGUGACAGGUGGUGCAUGGUUGUCGUCAGCUCGUGUCGUGAGAUGUUGGGUUAAGUCCCGCAACGAGCGCAACCCUUGAUCUUAGUUGCCAGCAUUCAGUUGGGCACUCUAAGGUGACUGCCGGUGACAAACCGGAGGAAGGUGGGGAUGACGUCAAAUCAUCAUGCCCCUUAUGACCUGGGCUACACACGUGCUACAAUGGAUGGUACAAAGGGCUGCAAGACCGCGAGGUCAAGCCAAUCCCAUAAAACCAUUCUCAGUUCGGAUUGGUA
RNAcentral lists this ribosomal RNA (528 nucleotides) under uncultured bacterium. Its description in RNAcentral is "bacterial SSU rRNA". It matches the Rfam family "Bacterial small subunit ribosomal RNA", at positions 777 to 1303 of the family's 1533-position model. The record is from RNAcentral.